CUCUCAGCCAGGCGGAUUGAAGGAUGGAAUUCCAACGAGGCUCCCCCGCCUCGUCCCACCUUGGCUGAAGGUGAUGUGGCCGCCCUCAACCGACGCAUCCAGCUCGUUGAGGAGGAGUUGGACAGGGCUCAGGAACGACUGGCCACGGCCCUGCAGAAGCUGGAGGAGGCAGAAAAAGCUGCAGAUGAGAGUGAGAGGCUGAGACCCGUGCUGAAUUUGCAGAGAGAACGGUUGCAAAACUGGAAAAGACAAUUGAUGACCUGGAAG
RNAcentral lists this long non-coding RNA (267 nucleotides) under Homo sapiens (human). RNAcentral describes it as "HSALNT0256431". Lineage: Eukaryota; Metazoa; Chordata; Mammalia; Primates; Hominidae. The record is from RNAcentral.